UCAUUUCGUUCGUGUAUAUUUUAGAAAUUAAGAAAUGAAAACUGUAACUGUACGAAGUUCAAUUUUUGUAUCGUUUAUAUGCCUUACGGAAAACCGACCUUUUCCGGAAUCGACUUUUGUUUUAUCACCGGAAAUGAUUUUGAAAUUUGAAUUUCGAAACGAUGGCAGGAUAUCAACAAAGAGAGCCAAGAAAAUUGUUUGUUACGCGAUAUAUACUCACUUGGUAAGAAUGAUUAAUCUGUUAAGAUGAAACUUGUGCAUUCAUUGUGUGUGUUCAAUCAUAAUCGGAACCAAAUUACAUCUGUUUGACUUUCUGGAGGUGCGGAUCAAUGUUUUGAAAAAAGGGGGGCCCCUGCCCAAGGCAAGCAAACGUUUGGAGUGAUACUUGUAAAUAGUCUAUACAUUUAUCUUAUAAGUAGCUCCAUAAGGGGGGUCGGGGCCCCUAAAUCCGCCACUGUUCAAGCAUCUACGUACAACAAUUAUGAAUUUGUUCUUUAAUAUAAAAAAAAUAUCAGGAUAUGUGGCUUGUGUGUUUGAUUGCCAAUACACCUUAUUGCUAUUUGUCCACCAUUACUGGCCAUGGACAUCACAAAAGUUCCCUUAAAAAGUUGCCGUCAUAUAAUAAUAUUUGACAUCACAAUUGAAGGUAAUACACCUUAUUGCUAUUUGUCCGCUAUUACUGGACAUCACACAACUGUCACGAGUUCCCUUAAAAUUUUGACGUCAUCAUAAAAAAUAUCUGAUGCCACAAUGGAAAAGUGAUAAGGUGUAUUAUUGUAUGAUGUAUGCUGACGUAAAAAGUUCAAGCGGGACAGAUUUCCAAAUACUGAAAUAGCGAUAAGGUGUAUGAGACAGCUAUCCACCAGAAUUUAAAUGACUUGGAUAAAAGAAAUUAUAGGUCACUGUACGGCUUUCAAAACUGAGAAAACCAAUGCCAUAUAGUCCACUUUGAAGCCUUGACAAACAAAUGUUAAAUUUUUCUCAACACAAUUGAAACAAAACAACUAACUGUCUACAUUAAAUACACAUUAUGAAAAAGAAAUUUGACAGACUUAAACCAACAACAACUAUUGCAACAAGCAUGACUCAAUAACUUGUUUCCGAAGCACACAAACAAGUUACAAUAACACUAAUAUAAGCACCAUUUGAAUAUGGAGAUUUUUUUUUUCUAGUAAAAUCAGUGUAUGUAUGUAUUUGCAAAACAGUAAAUUAAAUUUCCCUUAACAGCUUAAUGAACAUUACAAAGACUAUGUAAGACGUCAGUACAAGCAAAAUAAUAUAAACUGUUGCUUAAAAUUAUAUUUAUUGCUUCAUACACACAAUGUACAUACAAUGUAUCUUUUAUUUUUUAACAGGAGCUAAAAGAAAAGCCACAAAGGACAAGUUCAAUAUGCAGGUUUACAAUUUGGAAGUGGCGCAAGUUCUUUGGAAUGUCUACAACCUUUCAGGAGAAUUUUUUUUUGAAAAGUAUGGCACAGCAAGAAAAAGAUAUGACACUACAAGACAUUCCAAGUGAUUUUGAAUAAGACAAUUGAUUGACUUUUUCAAUGUAUUCUUAAAUAAAUCAAAUAGUUGAUGUAAAA
Molecule: long non-coding RNA, 1583 nt
Organism: Mytilus californianus (California mussel)
Lineage: Eukaryota; Metazoa; Mollusca; Bivalvia; Mytilida; Mytilidae
Exons: 2
Source: RefSeq, a predicted model, not a curated record